UACGUAGGGACCAAGUGUUGUUCGGAUUUACUGGGCGUAAAGGGCGCGUAGGCGGCAAUUCAAGUCAUCUGUGAAAUCUCCGGGCUUAACCCGGAACGGUCAGGUGAUACUGUUUUGCUAGAGUGCGGAAGGGGCAAUCGGAAUUCUCGGUGUAGCGGUGAAAUGCGUAGAUAUCGAGAGGAACACCAGAGGUGAAGACGGGUUGCUGGGCCGACACUGACGCUGACAGCGCGAAAGCCAGGGGGGCAAACGGG
This 254-nucleotide ribosomal RNA is filed under the name uncultured bacterium. RNAcentral describes it as "partial 16S ribosomal RNA". It matches the Rfam family "Bacterial small subunit ribosomal RNA", at positions 524 to 776 of the family's 1533-position model. The record is from RNAcentral.